Molecule: ribosomal RNA, 490 nt
Filed under: Microphotus sp. CO1092
Lineage: Eukaryota; Metazoa; Arthropoda; Insecta; Coleoptera; Lampyridae
Description: partial 16S ribosomal RNA
Rfam family: Bacterial large subunit ribosomal RNA (bases 364-490)
Source: RNAcentral
GUCUUUUUGAUUAUAAUUUAAGGUUUAAUCUGCUCAAUGAGGAAUUAAAUGGCCGCAGUAUUUUGACUGUGCAAAGGUAGCAUAAUAAUUAGUUUCUUAAUUAGGGACUUGUAUGAAUGAUUUGACAAGAGAAUUUCUGUCUCUUUUUAAUUUUAUGAAUUUAAUUUUUAAGUUAAAAUGCUUAAAUAUAUAUAAAAGACGAGAAGACCCCAUAGAGUUUUAUUUUUAAAAUAUUUUAGUAUUAUUAUAAAAGUAAAAAAUUAGUUGGGGUGACUAAAAGAUUAAAUUAACUCUUUUAAUUUAAAUCAUUAAUUUGUGAAUAAUAAGUCUAAUUUUAUUAAGUUUAAAUUAAAUUACCUUGGGGAUAACAGCGUAAUUUCUUUUUAGAGUUCUUAUCAAAUAAGAAGAUUUCGACCUCGAUGUUGGAUUAAAAUUUAUUUUAGGUGAAGAAGCUUAAAUAUUAAGUCUGUUCGACUUUUAAAAUUUUACA